Molecule: long non-coding RNA, 188 nt
Organism: Sebastes umbrosus (honeycomb rockfish)
Lineage: Eukaryota; Metazoa; Chordata; Actinopteri; Perciformes; Sebastidae
Exons: 3
Source: RefSeq, a predicted model, not a curated record
UCCACUCCUUCCGUUCUUACCUUUCACAAUAAAAGCCCUGGACAUACAAUAUUAUCAAGCGAAUAUUUAGUAUUUUGUAGUUUAUUCGUCACAGCCCCAGUGUGUAACAGCCUUAAGACGUGAACCUGUGUUCAAAAACAUCUUAAUUGAAAAAAUAAUCACUAUGUCAGCUCGGUGGCCUGAGGCAC